UAUGACUGUCGGAGUUAACUUUAUUUGACUUUAGUCCCAAUUGUUUUACACAAAGGUGUGAAACCUGUGGCCGCACUGACAGGAAAUCACUCUACGCUUGAACGCACAGAAUACACAGGAAUGAGGCAGGUAGAUAAUCUGUGUAACGAUUGACCAAGAAGAAUUCUACAUGCAUAUCAAACAAUUUUACUAAUAGUUACAUCAAAUAAUUAAUUCAUUUUACUGCGUUCUUUAACCGCUAAACGUGUUGAAGAUGUUCCUUCCCGCAAAAAACCUCCAUAAUAAACUAAACGGGAGAUAGGGAAAAACAACAACGAAUUAAACUUUCCAAACACAGUAUAUCAUGCAUCACGAACAUUGUAAAAAAACUAAACUGUUAAACAUACCUCUUAUUUUCUUUAUUGAAAAUAAAACUAAUAGAACGAAACUUUAUCAUGGAGGAAACAUGUGGUAGAGCUAGCGGGCUAAUUUGAUUGACAGAUGCAGCACGUGGACUCAAAUUUGAAAUUGCAUGAUGGAUUCAAUCACAGUGUACCAUAAUCUUUUAUGAAUACUAAUUUUAUGAAUAUUUAGUAUUGGAUAUUAGUAUAUUUCACAUAAGUGUCUGAACAAUGAGUUGGGCGUUUAUUCUCAUCGCCGUCGUCGUUUUCACAACAUGCCAAUCAGAGGCUGAGGGACAGUCAUGCCAACGCCAUAAGAACAUUAAUGGCUGCAGCAUUCCUUUGGGAAUGACCUUCUUUUACAAACGAAAGUUUAAAUCUGCCUGCAAUUUGCACGACCAUUGUUACAACUGUGCCUUGUAUUUCAACCUUGAUCGGAGAUACUGCGAUCGGAAAUUCCGGAGGGACAUGCAGAGAAUCUGUGUUAAAACAAACAAGACUUUUGUUGGGAGGAUUGCAUGUUUGACUGUGAGAGAGACCUACUUUACUGCGGUACAAACUGCCGGAAGUUUGUAUUUCGCGAGACCUUCAAAGAAUUACUGCAAGCAGUCAUGGGUCAGAGACUGUGUUUUCUAAAAUUUUAAAUUCUAAAAUUUAUUUAAAUUUUUUUUUGAAAAAUGCACUUUUAUGCUGACACAGGGAUGUACCUUUUAGUCUCUUUAAUUAUCUAGUGCAUUGUUUACCAAUAAAAUUUUCCUUGAA
Molecule: long non-coding RNA, 1142 nt
Organism: Magallana angulata
Lineage: Eukaryota; Metazoa; Mollusca; Bivalvia; Ostreida; Ostreidae
Exons: 3
Source: RefSeq, a predicted model, not a curated record